AGAAUCAACGCUGGCGGCGUGCCUAACACAUGCAAGUCGAACGCGACUUGGGACUUCGGUUCCAAGUUGAGUGGCGAACGGGUGAGUAACACGUGGGUGAUCUACCUUCGAGUGGGGGAUAACGUUCCGAAAGGACGCUACUACCGCAUGACGUUCCGGAUUUAAAGAGCUGGAAACCAAAGCCGGGGACCGCAAGGCCUGGCGCUUGAAGAGGAGCCCGCGUCCGAUUAGCUAGUUGGCGGGUAAUGGCCCACAAGGCGACGAUCGGUA
RNAcentral lists this ribosomal RNA (270 nucleotides) under uncultured bacterium. Its description in RNAcentral is "partial small subunit ribosomal RNA". It matches the Rfam family "Bacterial small subunit ribosomal RNA", at positions 26 to 285 of the family's 1533-position model. The record is from RNAcentral.